This 378-nucleotide unclassified non-coding RNA is filed under the name plant metagenome. RNAcentral's name for it is "partial contains 5.8S ribosomal RNA, internal transcribed spacer 2, and large subunit ribosomal RNA". The stretch from base 1 to 105 matches the Rfam family "5.8S ribosomal RNA", at positions 50 to 154 of the family's 154-position model. The record is from RNAcentral.
GAAAUGCGAUAAGUAAUGUGAAUUGCAGAAUUCAGUGAAUCAUCGAAUCUUUGAACGCAUCUUGCGCUCCUUGGUAUUCCUUGGAGCAUGCCUGUUUGAGUAUCAUGAAAUCUUCAAAGUAAAUCUUUUGUUAACUCAAUUGGUUUCUACUUUGGUAUUGGAGGUCUUUGCAGCUUCACACCUGCUCCUCUUUGUUCAUUAGCUGGAUCUCAGUGUUAUGCUUGGUUCCACUCGGCGUGAUAAGUUAUCUAUCGCUGAGGACACUGUAAAAGGUGGCCAAGGUAAAUGCAGAUGAACCGCUUCUAAUAGUCCAUUGACUUGUACAAUACUUUUAUGAUCUGAUCUCAAAUCAGGUAGGACUACCCGCUGAACUUAAGC